GAUGAACGCUGGCGGCGUGCCUAAUACAUGCAAGUCGAGCGAACAGACGAGGAGCUUGCUCCUCUGACGUUAGCGGCGGACGGGUGAGUAACACGUGGAUAACCUACCUAUAAGACUGGGAUAACUUCGGGAAACCGGAGCUAAUACCGGAUAAUAUAUUGAACCGCAUGGUUCAAUAGUGAAAGACGGUUUUGCUGUCACUUAUAGAUUGAUCCGCGCCGCAUUAGCUAGUUGGUAAGGUAACGGCUUACCAAGGCGACGAUGCGUAGCCGACCUGAGAGGGUGAUCGGCCACACUGGAGCUGAGACACGGUCCAGACUCCUACGGGAGGCAGCAGUAGGGAAUCUUCCGCAAUGGGCGAAAGCCUGACGGAGCAACGCCGCGUGAGUGAUGAAGGUCUUCGGAUCGUAAAACUCUGUUAUUAGGGAAGAACAAAUGUGUAAGUAACUAUGCACGUCUUGACGGUACCUAAUCAGAAAGCCACGGCUAACUACGUG
Molecule: ribosomal RNA, 497 nt
Filed under: uncultured bacterium
Lineage: Bacteria
Description: partial 16S ribosomal RNA
Rfam family: Bacterial small subunit ribosomal RNA
Source: RNAcentral